RNAcentral lists this small nuclear RNA (54 nucleotides) under Cimex lectularius (bed bug). Lineage: Eukaryota; Metazoa; Arthropoda; Insecta; Hemiptera; Cimicidae. The record is from RNAcentral.
GUCUUGUAAGAAAGGAGAGAAGUUUAGCACUCCCCUUGACAAGGAUGGAAUGUU